UACGGGAGGCAGCAGUGGGGAAUAUUGCACAAUGGGCGCAAGCCUGAUGCAGCCAUGCCGCGUGUAUGAAGAAGGCCUUCGGGUUGUAAAGUACUUUCAGUCGUGAGGAAGGUGUUAAGGUUAAUAACCUUAGCAAUUGACGUUAGCGACAGAAGAAGCACCGGCUAACUCCGUGCCAGCAGCCGCGGUAAUACGGAGGGUGCGAGCGUUAAUCGGAAUUACUGGGCGUAAAGGGCACGCAGGCGGUUAAUUAAGUUGGAUGUGAAAUCCCCGGGCUUAACCUGGGAAUGGCAUUCAAGACUGGUUAGCUAGAGUCUUGUAGAGGGGGUAGAAUUCCAUGUGUAGCGGUGAAAUGCGUAGAGAUGUGGAGGAAUACCGGUGGCGAAGGCGGCCCCUGGGACAAAGGCUGACGCUCAUGUGCGAAAGCGUGGGGAGCGAAACAGGGAUUAGAU
This 452-nucleotide ribosomal RNA is filed under the name uncultured bacterium. Its description in RNAcentral is "bacterial SSU rRNA". It matches the Rfam family "Bacterial small subunit ribosomal RNA", at positions 340 to 783 of the family's 1533-position model. The record is from RNAcentral.